GGUCUCUUAGCUCAGUUGGUAGAGCACCUGACUGUUAAUCAGGGUGUCGCUGGUUCGAGUCCAGCAGGGACCGCCA
This 76-nucleotide transfer RNA is filed under the name Oscillibacter valericigenes. RNAcentral describes it as "tRNA-Asn". It matches the Rfam family "tRNA". From Rfam's summary of the family: Transfer RNA (tRNA) molecules are approximately 80 nucleotides in length. Their secondary structure includes four short double-helical elements and three loops (D, anti-codon, and T loops). Further hydrogen bonds mediate the characteristic L-shaped molecular structure. tRNAs have two regions of fundamental functional importance: the anti-codon, which is responsible for specific mRNA codon recognition, and the 3' end, to which the tRNAs corresponding amino acid is attached (by aminoacyl-tRNA synthetases). tRNAs cope with the degeneracy of the genetic code in two manners: having more than one tRNA (with a specific anti-codon) for a particular amino acid; and 'wobble' base-pairing, i.e. permitting non-standard base-pairing at the 3rd anti-codon position. The record is from RNAcentral. Lineage: Bacteria; Bacillati; Bacillota; Clostridia; Eubacteriales; Oscillospiraceae. RNAcentral also lists the same sequence under 3 other names.